This 495-nucleotide ribosomal RNA is filed under the name uncultured bacterium. Its description in RNAcentral is "bacterial SSU rRNA". It matches the Rfam family "Bacterial small subunit ribosomal RNA", at positions 338 to 848 of the family's 1533-position model. The record is from RNAcentral.
CCUACGGGAGGCAGCAGUGGGGAAUCUUGCGCAAUGGGCGAAAGCCUGACGCAGCCAUGCCGCGUGAAUGAUGAAGGUCUUAGGAUUGUAAAAUUCUUUCACCGGGGACGAUAAUGACGGUACCCGGAGAAGAAGCCCCGGCUAACUUCGUGCCAGCAGCCGCGGUAAUACGAAGGGGGCUAGCGUUGCUCGGAAUUACUGGGCGUAAAGGGAGCGUAGGCGGAUAGUUUAGUCAGAGGUGAAAGCCCAGGGCUCAACCUUGGAAUUGCCUUUGAUACUGGCUAUCUUGAGUACGGAAGAGGUAUGUGGAACUCCGAGUGUAGAGGUGAAAUUCGUAGAUAUUCGGAAGAACACCAGUGGCGAAGGCGACAUACUGGUCCGUUACUGACGCUGAGGCUCGAAAGCGUGGGGAGCAAACAGGAUUAGAUACCCUGGUAGUCCACGCUGUAAACGAUGAGUGNUAGUGUCGUCGAUGCAUGCAUGUCGGUGUACGCG